This 399-nucleotide ribosomal RNA is filed under the name uncultured bacterium. RNAcentral's name for it is "bacterial SSU rRNA". It matches the Rfam family "Bacterial small subunit ribosomal RNA", at positions 28 to 415 of the family's 1533-position model. The record is from RNAcentral.
GAUGAACGCUGGCGGCGUGCUUAACACAUGCAAGUCGAGCGAAGCACUUAACUUUGAUUCUUUCGGGAUGAAGAGUUCUGUGACUGAGCGGCGGACGGGUGAGUAACGCGUGGGUAACCUGCCUCAUACAGGGGGAUAACAGUUAGAAAUGGCUGCUAAUACCGCAUAAGACCACAGCACCGCAUGGUGCAGGGGUAAAAACUCCGGUGGUAUGAGAUGGACCCGCGUCUGAUUAGCUAGUUGGUGGGUAACGGCUACCAAGCGACGAUCAGUAGCGACCUGANAGGGUGACCGGCCACAUUGGGACUGAGACACGGCCAAACUCCUACGGAGGCAGCAGUGGGGAUAUUGCACAAUGGGGGAAACCCUGAUGCAGCGACGCGCGUGAGCGAAGAAGUA